RNAcentral lists this ribosomal RNA (253 nucleotides) under uncultured bacterium. RNAcentral describes it as "partial 16S ribosomal RNA". It matches the Rfam family "Bacterial small subunit ribosomal RNA", at positions 524 to 776 of the family's 1533-position model. The record is from RNAcentral.
UACGGGGGGGGCAAGCGUUGUUCGGAAUUACUGGGCGUAAAGGGCUCGUAGGCGGCCAACUAAGUCAGACGUGAAAUCCCUCGGCUUAACCGGGGAACUGCGUCUGAUACUGGAUGGCUUGAGUUUGGGAGAGGGAUGCGGAAUUCCAGGUGUAGCGGUGAAAUGCGUAGAUAUCUGGAGGAACACCGGUGGCGAAGGCGGGUCUCUGGGCAAUUCCUGACGCUGAGGCGCGAAAGCGUGGGGAGCAAACGGG